Molecule: ribosomal RNA, 942 nt
Filed under: uncultured fungus
Lineage: Eukaryota; Fungi
Description: LSU rRNA
Rfam family: Eukaryotic large subunit ribosomal RNA
Source: RNAcentral
AUUACCCUCAGUAACGGCGAGUGAAGCAGCAAUAGCUCAAAUUUGAAAUCUGGCGUCUUCGACGUCCGAGUUGUAAUUUGUAGGGGAUGCUUCUGAGUGGCCACCGACCUAAGUUCCUUGGAACAGGACGUCAUAGAGGGUGAGAAUCCCGUAUGCGGUCGGAAAGGCGCUCUAUACGUAGCUCCUUCGACGAGUCGAGUUGUUUGGGAAUGCAGCUCUAAAUGGGAGGUAAAUUUCUUCUAAAGCUAAAUAUUGGCCAGAGACCGAUAGCGCACAAGUAGAGUGAUCGAAAGAUGAAAAGCACUUUGGAAAGAGAGUUAAAAAGCACGUGAAAUUGUUAAAAGGGAAGGGAUUGCAACCAGACUUGCUCGCGGUGUUCCGCCGGUCUUCUGACCGGUCUACUCGCCGCGUUGCAGGCCAGCAUCGUCUGGUGCCGCUGGAUAAGACUUGAGGAAUGUAGCUCCCUCGGGAGUGUUAUAGCCUCUUGUGAUGCAGCGAGCGCCGGGCGAGGUCCGCGCUUCGGCUAGGAUGCUGGCGUAAUGGUCGUAAUCCGCCCGUCUUGAAACACGGACCAAGGAGUCCAACAUCUAUGCGAGUGUUCGGGUGUCAAACCCCUACGCGUAAUGAAAGUGAACGGAGGUGAGAACCGCAAGGUGCAUCAUCGACCGAUCCUGAUGUCUUCGGAUGGAUUUGAGUAAGAGCAUAGCUGUUGGGACCCGAAAGAUGGUGAACUAUGCCUGAAUAGGGUGAAGCCAGAGGAAACUCUGGUGGAGGCUCGCAGCGGUUCUGACGUGCAAAUCGAUCGUCAAAUUUGGGUAUAGGGGCGAAAGACUAAUCGAACCAUCUAGUAGCUGGUUCCUGCCGAAUUUCCCCUCAGGAUAGCAGUAACGUUUUCAGUUUCAUGAGGUAAAGCGAAUGAUUAGAGGCCUUGGGGUUGAAACA